Aedes albopictus (Asian tiger mosquito) is the source of this 73-nucleotide non-coding RNA. NCBI's taxonomy places the organism in Eukaryota, Metazoa, Arthropoda, Insecta, Diptera, Culicidae. The record is from Rfam.
UGUUCUGUGGCUUAGGUGGUUAAAGCGCUGGACUAGUGAAACGGAGUCGUGGGUUCGACUUCCACAAAAACAA